This 1278-nucleotide long non-coding RNA is filed under the name Mytilus galloprovincialis (Mediterranean mussel). The record is from RNAcentral. Lineage: Eukaryota; Metazoa; Mollusca; Bivalvia; Mytilida; Mytilidae.
CUGUAUACCAGCUUUGAUUAUUUGUAAUAUCUUCAAUUUUUCACUUAUUCUUACAACAUUUGUAUAAACUUCAAGAUUAUAAAAAACCGUUUUUUUUCUAAAGUGAACAUUGAUUGGUUAAAUAUUUCUCAGUGUGUUUGAAUUUGUUUGUUAGCCUUUUGGUCAUGAAUGUUUGUCUCUAAUAUUUAAUUAACUGUGCAUUUGUAUUCAGAUAUCGCAGAUCAAAUUUAUUCGUUCAUUGUGUAAUCAUACGUUUUUAGCUCACCUGGCCCGAAGGGCCAAGUGAGCUUUUCUCAUCACUUGGCGUCCGGCGUCCGGCGUCCGUCGUCCGUCGUCCGUCGUCGUCGUCGUCCGUCGUUAACUUUUACAAAAAUCUUCUCCUCUGAAACUACUGGACCAAAUUAAACCAAACUUGGCCACAAUCAUCAUUGGGGUAUCUAGUUUAAAAAAUUGUGUCCGGUGACCCGCCCAACCAACCAAGAUGGCCGCCAUGGCUAAAAAUAGAACAUAGGGGUAAAAUGCAGUUUUUGGCUUAUAACUCAAAAACCAAAGCAUUUAGAGCAAAUCUGACAUGGGGUAAAAUUGUUUAUCAGGUUAAGAUGUAUCUGCCCUGAAAUUUUCAGAUGAAUCGGACAACCCGUUGAUAGGUUGCUGCCCCUGAAUUGGUAAUUUUGAGAAAAUUUUGCUGUUUUUGGUUAUUAUCCUGAAUAUUAUUAUAGAUAGAGAUAAACUGUGAACAGCAAAAAUGUUCAACAAAGUAAGAUCUACAAAUAAGUCAACAUGACCAAAAUGGUCUGUUGACCCCUUUAGAAGUUAUUGCCCUUUAUAGUCAAUUUUUAACCAUUUUUCGUAAAUCUUAAUUAUCUUUUACAAAAAUCUUCUCCUCUGAAACUACUGGACCAAAUAAAACCAAACUUGGCCACAAUCAUCAUUGGGGUAUCUAGUUUAAAAAUUGUGUCCGGUGACCCGCCCGCCCAACCAAGAUGGCCGCCAUGGCUAAAAAUAGAACAUAGGGGUAAAAUGCAGUUUUUGGCUUAUCACUCAAAAACGGAAGCAUUUAGAGCAAAUCUGACAUGUAGUAAAAUUGUUUAUCAGGUCAAGAUCUAUCUGCCCUGAAAUUUUGAGAUGAAUCGGACAAUUCGUUGAUAGGUUGCUGCCCCUGAAUUGGUAAUUUUAAGGAAAUUUUGCUGUUUUUGGUUAUUAUCUUGAAUAUUAUUAUAGAUAGAGAUAAACUGUAAACAGCAAAAAUGUUCAGCUAAAUAAGAUCUACAAAUAAGU